RNAcentral lists this transfer RNA (70 nucleotides) under Proteus anguinus (olm). Its description in RNAcentral is "tRNA-Gly". It matches the Rfam family "tRNA". From Rfam's summary of the family: Transfer RNA (tRNA) molecules are approximately 80 nucleotides in length. Lineage: Eukaryota; Metazoa; Chordata; Amphibia; Caudata; Proteidae. The record is from RNAcentral.
GUCUUCUUAGUAUAAAAAAAUAUAAAUGACUUCCAAUUAUUUUAUCUUAGUUAAAACCUAAGAGAAGACA